UACGUAGGCAGCAAGCGUUGUUCGGAGUUACUGGGCGUAAAGGGUGUGUAGGCGGUUCUUUAAGUUUGGUGUGAAAUCUCCGGCUUAACCGGGAGGGUGCGCCGAAAACUGGGAGACUAGAGUGCGGGAUGGGAGAGUAGAAUUCCUGGUGUAGCGGUGAAAUGCGUAGAUAUCAGGAGGAAUACCGGUGGUGCAGACGGCUCUCUGGACCGCAACUGACGCUGAGACACGAAAGCGUGGGUAGCAAACAGG
Molecule: ribosomal RNA, 252 nt
Filed under: uncultured bacterium
Lineage: Bacteria
Description: partial 16S ribosomal RNA
Rfam family: Bacterial small subunit ribosomal RNA
Source: RNAcentral